RNAcentral lists this ribosomal RNA (254 nucleotides) under uncultured bacterium. RNAcentral describes it as "partial 16S ribosomal RNA". It matches the Rfam family "Bacterial small subunit ribosomal RNA", at positions 524 to 776 of the family's 1533-position model. The record is from RNAcentral.
UACGUAGGUGGCAAGCGUUGUCCGGAUUUACUGGGCGUAAAGAGCGCGCAGGCGGUCAUUCAAGUCGCGUGUGAAAGCCCCCGGCUCAACUGGGGAGGGUCACGCGAUACUGAUCGACUCGAAGGCAGGAGAGGGUAGUGGAAUUCCCGGUGUAGUGGUGAAAUGCGUAGAUAUCGGGAGGAACACCAGUGGCGAAGGCGACUACCUGGCCUGUUUCUUGACGCUGAGGCGCGAAAGCUAGGGGAGCAAACGGG